GAUGAACGCUAGCGGCAGGCCUAAUACAUGCAAGACGAACGGUAAGUUGAGUAGCAAUACUUAGCCAAGAGUGUCGUACGGGUGCGUAACACGUAUGCAACCUACCCUAUACAGGAGGAUAGCCUAGGGAAACCUGGAUUAACCCUUCAUAGUAUUAUUGGAUGGCAUCAUUUGAUAAUUAAAACUGAGGUGGUAUAGGAUGGGCAUGCGUCUGAUUAGUUAGUUGGCGGGUAAUGGCCCACCAAGACGAUGAUCAGUAGGGGUUCUGAGAGGGAAGAUCCCCCCACACUGGCACUGAGAUACGGGCCAGACUCCUACGGGAGGCAGCAGUAGGGAAUAUUGGGUCAAUGGAUGCAAGUCUGAACCAGCCAUGCCGCGUGCAGGAAGAAGGCCUUCUGGGGUUGUUAAAACUGGCUUUUUGGCCAGGGGGAUAAAAUUUCCAUGCGUGGAAACUG
This 455-nucleotide ribosomal RNA is filed under the name uncultured bacterium. RNAcentral's name for it is "bacterial SSU rRNA". It matches the Rfam family "Bacterial small subunit ribosomal RNA", at positions 28 to 471 of the family's 1533-position model. The record is from RNAcentral.